UCAGCAAAAUGCGCUUCCUUUGUUAUAAUAGAGAUCUUACGAUGUAGGACGGCAACGCAACGACAACGGCCAAAAUAUACUGUUUGGUUAGCUUGAAAUUAUAGUGGCUUUAUUGUUGAGAAAGUUCCACUGUAGUACUGAGUAUCACUUCUCGCGUCUGAGUAUCUCUUCUCGCGUCUUGAAAUGCAGGCAUUUUAUCCAAAACGUAACUGUGCUAUAGUCUAUAAUAACAUCAUAGAGUUGUACUGGGGCCGGUUGUUCACGCUGGAUUAGCGCUAAACCAUGGGUUAAAAAUUGACCUGAUGUUUUGGUCUGGGUGCAUACUGCGCUUCCGUUAAAAUAGAACUUCUAUUGAGCCAACAAGAAUUCUGGAAGACUAUCUUCAUAUUUUUAAACAUGGAAAUUAUCGAGUGGAAAUUCUAUAUAAAUUUAUUAGACCUAACCAGGAACAGCUGCGAAGAAUAGAACUAUAUAUAGGUCCCUGACAGGAAUCGAACCUGCGGCCCUCCGAUUCCGGAGCAGCGCUCUAACCAACUGAGCUACUGGACCUAUAGUUGCAUUUUUUCGCAGCUGUUCCUAGUUAGGUCUAAUAAAUGUAUAUAGAAUUUCCACUCGAUAGAAUUUCCACUCUACAAAACCCUCCAACUAUUAUUAUUGAAUGGAGUCAGAUACCAAAAAAAUCUUGAUAUUUAUCGGCUUUUACCUUAAUAUGGCAGUACCCUAGUAUAUAUACAUAAACUUGUGGUUAGAGCUCGGCAACUGGACUCUGUAGCUCAUGCAGUUGGUCAAAGCGCUGCUCCGGAAUCGCAGGGCUGCAGGC
This is a non-coding RNA of Paramuricea clavata, 820 nucleotides long. Lineage: Eukaryota; Metazoa; Cnidaria; Anthozoa; Malacalcyonacea; Plexauridae. The record is from the annotation of a GenBank genome assembly.